AGCUAUCAAAAAGUUCGCACGAUCUCAAAUGGUCGUAAGGGUGUCGUGAUGAGUGGUAGACUUGUAAGAGUGCGGAGCCCAUCCACCUGUAGAUGGGGACGUGAGGGCGAAACAUCUGGGCCUACUUGCGUGAAAAGCGAGAGAGGUCGCUCCAGAACCAGACGCCGUCAAACUAUACAUGUGACAGAAAACCCCAGGCUGAGCAAACUUGGCAACGACGCCCGGAAGAGAGCCAAAGAGGACGUCAUGCAGGAGAUGGUCGUGCAGAUCAUUCACCUGGCUGACUUGAACUUACAAGAUC
Clupea harengus (Atlantic herring) is the source of this 301-nucleotide long non-coding RNA. RefSeq lists it as uncharacterized. NCBI's taxonomy places the organism in Eukaryota, Metazoa, Chordata, Actinopteri, Clupeiformes, Clupeidae. The record is from RefSeq and is a predicted model, not a curated record. The transcript has 3 exons.